Molecule: long non-coding RNA, 350 nt
Filed under: Elaeis guineensis (African oil palm)
Lineage: Eukaryota; Viridiplantae; Streptophyta; Magnoliopsida; Arecales; Arecaceae
Description: long non-coding RNA (EGUI_LNC015874)
Source: RNAcentral
AACGACUUGUGCAAGGAUUCGGUUUGUCAAAGCUAAAAAAGUUAAAAGAAAAGAAAAGAAAAUGUUUCCCAUUUCCGUGUUACCGUCUCUGCUGCGGAAGUUUUAUUGGUGCAGCGAUCGCAGCGAUCAAACUUGUAGUCGAAGAAGGGUACUGGACACCGUUUCACCACUGAGACCGCAAAACUUAAAAAAAGUAAAAUAAAAUAAAGCCCCAAAAGCGAUGCAACCACAGAGGGCGGAAUACUCACGGGACCCCUCCGGCCAUCCAUUCCCAGAAACCGACGGCCUGCCGCCUAGAUCUUCAACCUCCGUCCAUCAAUUGCCGGAACAAAGCGACUGGUUGUGGUGUU